RNAcentral lists this ribosomal RNA (497 nucleotides) under uncultured bacterium. Its description in RNAcentral is "partial 16S ribosomal RNA". It matches the Rfam family "Bacterial small subunit ribosomal RNA", at positions 28 to 507 of the family's 1533-position model. The record is from RNAcentral.
GAUGAACGCUGGCGGCGUGCCUAAUACAUGCAAGUCGAGCGAACGGACGAGAAGCUUGCUUUUCUGAUGUUAGCGGCGGACGGGUGAGUAACACGUGUAUAACCUACCUAUAAGACUGGGAUAACUUCGGGAAACCGGAGCUAAUACCGGAUAAUAUUUUGAACCGCAUGGUUCAAAAGUGAAAGACGGUCUUGCUGUCACUUAUAGAUGGAUCCGCGCUGCAUUAGCUAGUUGGUAAGGUAACGGCUUACCAAGGCAACGAUGCAUAGCCGACCUGAGAGGGUGAUCGGCCACACUGGAACUGAGACACGGACCAGACUCCUACGGGAGGCAGCAGUAGGGAAUCUUCCGCAAUGGGCGAAAGCCUGACGGAGCAACGCCGCGUGAGUGAUGAAGGUCUUCGGAUCGUAAAACUCUGUUAUUAGGGAAGAACAUAUGUGUAAGUAACUGUGCACAUCUUGACGGUACCUAAUCAGAAAGCCACGGCUAACUACGUG